UACGUAGGGGGCAAGCGUUGUCCGGAUUUAUUGGGCGUAAAGAGCUCGUAGGCGGCUUGUCACGUCGGGUGUGAAAGCCCGGGGCUUAACCCCGGGUCUGCAUUCGAUACGGGCAGGCUAGAGUGUGGUAGGGGAGAUCGGAAUUCCUGGUGUAGCGGUGAAAUGCGCAGAUAUCAGGAGGAACACCGGUGGCGAAGGCGGAUCUCUGGGCCAUUACUGACGCUGAGGAGCGAAAGCGUGGGGAGCGAACAGG
Molecule: ribosomal RNA, 253 nt
Filed under: uncultured bacterium
Lineage: Bacteria
Description: partial 16S ribosomal RNA
Rfam family: Bacterial small subunit ribosomal RNA
Source: RNAcentral